This 1425-nucleotide ribosomal RNA is filed under the name bacterium. RNAcentral's name for it is "bacterial SSU rRNA". It matches the Rfam family "Bacterial small subunit ribosomal RNA". The record is from RNAcentral.
GCGGCUACAAUGCAAGUCGAGCGGUAGCACAGAGAGCUUGCUCUCGGGUGACGAGCGGCGGACGGGUGAGUAAUGUCUGGGAAACUGCCUGAUGGAGGGGGAUAACUACUGGAAACGGUAGCUAAUACCGCAUAACGUCGCAAGACCAAAGUGGGGGACCUUCGGGCCUCAUGCCAUCAGAUGUGCCCAGAUGGGAUUAGCUGGUAGGUGGGGUAACGGCUCACCUAGGCGACGAUCCCUAGCUGGUCUGAGAGGAUGACCAGCCACACUGGAACUGAGACACGGUCCAGACUCCUACGGGAGGCAGCAGUGGGGAAUAUUGCACAAUGGGCGCAAGCCUGAUGCAGCCAUGCCGCGUGUGUGAAGAAGGCCUUCGGGUUGUAAAGCACUUUCAGCGGGGAGGAAGGCGGUGAGGUUAAUAACCUCAUCGAUUGACGUUACCCGCAGAAGAAGCACCGGCUAACUCCGUGCCAGCAGCCGCGGUAAUACGGAGGGUGCAAGCGUUAAUCGGAAUUACUGGGCGUAAAGCGCACGCAGGCGGUCUGUCAAGUCGGAUGUGAAAUCCCCGGGCUCAACCUGGGAACUGCAUUCGAAACUGGCAGGCUAGAGUCUUGUAGAGGGGGGUAGAAUUCCAGGUGUAGCGGUGAAAUGCGUAGAGAUCUGGAGGAAUACCGGUGGCGAAGGCGGCCCCCUGGACAAAGACUGACGCUCAGGUGCGAAAGCGUGGGGAGCAAACAGGAUUAGAUACCCUGGUAGUCCACGCUGUAAACGAUGUCGAUUUGGAGGUUGUGCCCUUGAGGCGUGGCUUCCGGAGCUAACGCGUUAAAUCGACCGCCUGGGGAGUACGGCCGCAAGGUUAAAACUCAAAUGAAUUGACGGGGGCCCGCACAAGCGGUGGAGCAUGUGGUUUAAUUCGAUGCAACGCGAAGAACCUUACCUGGUCUUGACAUCCACAGAACUUUCCAGAGAUGGAUUGGUGCCUUCGGGAACUGUGAGACAGGUGCUGCAUGGCUGUCGUCAGCUCGUGUUGUGAAAUGUUGGGUUAAGUCCCGCAACGAGCGCAACCCUUAUCCUUUGUUGCCAGCGGUUAGGCCGGGAACUCAAAGGAGACUGCCAGUGAUAAACUGGAGGAAGGUGGGGAUGACGUCAAGUCAUCAUGGCCCUUACGACCAGGGCUACACACGUGCUACAAUGGCAUAUACAAAGAGAAGCGACCUCGCGAGAGCAAGCGGACCUCAUAAAGUAUGUCGUAGUCCGGAUUGGAGUCUGCAACUCGACUCCAUGAAGUCGGAAUCGCUAGUAAUCGUAGAUCAGAAUGCUACGGUGAAUACGUUCCCGGGCCUUGUACACACCGCCCGUCACACCAUGGGAGUGGGUUGCAAAAGAAGUAGGUAGCUUAACCUUCGGGAGGGCGCUACCACUUUG